Molecule: long non-coding RNA, 985 nt
Filed under: Junco hyemalis (dark-eyed junco)
Lineage: Eukaryota; Metazoa; Chordata; Aves; Passeriformes; Passerellidae
Description: lncRNA (ENSJHYG00000003321.1)
Source: RNAcentral
UGCUGAGGCACUGUGUCUGUAUUGUUCCAUGGAGAGCGCUGCCAGUCCCACUGGAUUUAUCUCCCUGAUUUCCUGGAUGCUGAGCUUGUUGCCAUUAUAAUUCAAUGUCCUGCCUCCAUCCCUCUGGUCGGGGUGCAUGCCACGGAAAUUGUUUAUGUUGUGGAAUUACCUCCUGACAUUGAUGCAUGGGGGAAUUAUUCCAAAAAAACCCUGAAAAAUACAGUGCGUGCUGAAAGAAAUUCAGGGAACUAACCAGGAUAAGGGAAACCUUCCAGCCUGGCCAGAAGUAGCUCCAAGGAUUUGUGUCAUCCAGGAAGUCUCUCCAAGGAUUUGUGUCAUCCAGGGGCAAUUGUGUGGUGCUGGGCAAAGAUUCCUGCAGGACAGUCACACUUGGAAUUCCAGUAGAUUAGCCUAUCAUCAAGUCAUCAGGAUCCUGCUAUUGGAAUAAACACAGCUGUUGUUUUCCAAGAAAUGUGGCAAAGAGCACUCGGGCUUUCUGGAAAGGCCUUUUUGCAACAGAGGGAAACCCAAACCCAUCCCAUAUCCGAGUGUCACUCACGACUUUCUAAAUUGAUGGUGGAUAUGGACAGCAAUUUCCCUAUUCCUCACAGCUUUUUAUAGCCAAACUGGAAAUCAUCCUGCUCUCCCCAUUCCUUAUGGGAAACGCGGCACAAGGAUGGAUUGGGCCCAGGCAAGAGUGCUGGAAAUAAGGAGUGGAAGGAUUGUCCUGGUGGUGGGAGGAGUGCAACAAAAGCCUGGGAUCCAAAAACCUGGAUAAAUUUGUGCUGCCACCUGAGGACUUUUGGGAGAUACCAAAGGAUGGAAUUAGAAGCUUUUAACACUAUUCAAAAGCUAUGCCCUAUCCUGCAUGGAUUGAGAAGAAGAGGAAUCAAAUUAUUUUCCUUGGACAUUACUCAAUGGAUCUUGCACUGAACAGUCUCUCUUUUGCUUUCAAGCUCAUUAAUAAAAACUUCCAACUUCUUCA